AUUGAACGCUGGCGGCAUGCCUUACACAUGCAAGUCGAACGGUAACAGGUCUUCUGGUGCUGCCGAGUGGCGUACGGGUGGGUAAUACAUCGGAACGUGCCCGAUCGCGGGGGAUAACGAAGCGUAAGCUUUGCUAAUACCGCAUACGAACUACGGAAGAAAGCGGGGGAUCGUCGGACCUCGCGCGGCCAGAGGGGCCGAUGAAAGAUUAGGUAGGUGGUGGCAUAAAAGCUUACCGAGCCGACGAUCUGUAGCUGGUCGGAGAGGAUGAUGCGCCACACUGUGACUGAGACACGGCCCCGACUCCUAGGGGAGGCAGCAGUGGGGAAUUUUGGACAAUGGGCGCAAGCCUGAUCCAGCCAUGCCGCGUGCAGGCUGAACGCCUUCGGGUUGUAAACUGCUUUUGUACUGAACGAAAAGGUGCCUUCUAAUACAGGGCGCUCAUGACGGUACCGUAAGAAUAAGCACCGGCUAACUACGUG
This 482-nucleotide ribosomal RNA is filed under the name uncultured bacterium. RNAcentral describes it as "partial 16S ribosomal RNA". It matches the Rfam family "Bacterial small subunit ribosomal RNA", at positions 30 to 507 of the family's 1533-position model. The record is from RNAcentral.